Molecule: ribosomal RNA, 101 nt
Filed under: Paenibacillus odorifer
Lineage: Bacteria; Bacillati; Bacillota; Bacilli; Caryophanales; Paenibacillaceae
Source: RNAcentral
GAGGGGUUCCACACGUACCCAUCCCGAACACGACCGUUAAGCCCUCCAGCGCCGAUGGUACUUGGACCGAAGGGUCCUGGGAGAGUAGGACGCCGCCAAGC